UGGUGAAUAUUGGACAAUGGGCGCAAGCCUGAUCCAGCAAUGCCGCGUGUGUGAAGAAGGCCUUCGGGUUGUAAAGCACUUUUAUCUGGAGCGAAAUCUGCAGGGCUAAUACCCAUGCAGUCUGACGGUACCAGAGGAAUAAGCACCGGCUAACUUCGUGCCAGCAGCCGCGGUAAUACGAAGGGUGCAAGCGUUAAUCGGAAUUACUGGGCGUAAAGCGUGCGCAGGCGGUUAUGCAAGACGGAUGUGAAAUCCCCGGGCUCAACCUGGGAACUGCAUUUGUGACUGCAUAGCUGGAGUGCGGCAGAGGGGGAUGGAAUUCCGCGUGUAUCGGUGAAAUGCGUAAAGAUCGGGAGGAACACCAGUGGCGAAGGCGGCUACGUGGACCAGCGCUGACACUGAGUCACGAAAGCGUGGGGAGCAAACA
Molecule: ribosomal RNA, 427 nt
Filed under: uncultured bacterium
Lineage: Bacteria
Description: bacterial SSU rRNA
Rfam family: Bacterial small subunit ribosomal RNA
Source: RNAcentral